AUUGAACGCUGGCGGCAGGCCUAACACAUGCAAGUCGAACGAGUGGCGGACGGGUGAGUAAUGUCUGGGAAACUGCCUGAUGGAGGGGGAUAACUACUGGAAACGGUAGCUAAUACCGCAUACCAUCGGAUGUGCCCAGAUGGGAUUAGCUUGUUGGUGGGGGAACGGCUCACCAAGGCGACGAUCCAUAGCUGGGCUGAGAGGAUGACCAGCCACAUUGGAACUGGUACACGGUCCAGACUCCGACGGGAGGCAGCAGUGGGGAAUAUUGCCAAAUGGGCGCAAGCCUGAUGCGUCCAUGCCGCGUGUAUGAGCAAGGCCUUCGGGUUGUAAAGUACUUUCAGCGGGGAGGCGUUACCCGCAGAAGAAGCACCGGCUAACUCCGUGCCAGCAGCCGCGGUAAUAC
This 406-nucleotide ribosomal RNA is filed under the name uncultured bacterium. RNAcentral's name for it is "partial 16S ribosomal RNA". It matches the Rfam family "Bacterial small subunit ribosomal RNA", at positions 30 to 526 of the family's 1533-position model. The record is from RNAcentral.